This 460-nucleotide ribosomal RNA is filed under the name uncultured bacterium. RNAcentral's name for it is "partial 16S ribosomal RNA". It matches the Rfam family "Bacterial small subunit ribosomal RNA", at positions 338 to 795 of the family's 1533-position model. The record is from RNAcentral.
CCUACGGGUGGCAGCAGUGAGGAAUCUUCGUCAAUGGACGCGAGCCUGAACCAGCCACGUAGCGUGACUGAUGAAUGCCCUACGAGUUGUAAACUUCUUUUAUAAAGGAAUACAGUGACGAACGUAUGCCUUUUUGUCUGUACUUUAUGAAUACGGAUCGGCUAACUCCGUUCCAGCAGACGCGGUAAUACAGAGGAUACGAGCGUUAUCCUGAUUGAUUGGGUUGAAAGGGAGCGUAGAUGGUUUGUUAACUCAGUUGUGAAAGCUUGAGGCUCAACCGUAGAAGGGCAAUUGAUACUGGGAGACUUGAGUGCAGUAGAGGGAAGUGGAAUUCGAGGUGUAGCGGUGAAAUGCUUAGAUAUCACGAGGAACACCGGUGGCGAAGGCAGCCUACUAGACUGCCACUGACAUUGAUGCUCGAAAGUGUGGGUAGCAAACAGGAUUAGAUACCCGAGUAGUC